This 253-nucleotide ribosomal RNA is filed under the name uncultured bacterium. RNAcentral's name for it is "partial 16S ribosomal RNA". It matches the Rfam family "Bacterial small subunit ribosomal RNA", at positions 524 to 776 of the family's 1533-position model. The record is from RNAcentral.
UACGAAGGGUGCAAACGUUGCUCGGAAUCAUUGGGCGUAAAGCGCACGUAGGCGGCGCUGCAAGUCGGACGUGAAAUCCCUCGGCUCAACCGAGGACGUGCAUCCGAAACUGCAGUGCUCGAGUAUGGAAGAGGGUCGCGGAAUUCUCGGUGUAAAGGUGAAAUUCGUAGAUAUCGGGAGGAACACCAGUGGCGAAGGCGGCGACCUGGGCCAAUACUGACGCUGAGGUGCGAAAGCGUGGGGAGCAAACAGG